CCGCCUCGCCAGGUUCCAUUUUUCUCUUUCUCUCUCGAUCCCCUCUUCAAACCCUUGAAACAGCGCCCGUACGCUCCCCGCCGCGCCGCCGCCGCUCACUGUGCUCCGCAUCCUCGGCCUCACACCCUUUGCACCGUCUCCUCCUCCUCCCCACCCCUUCGGCGCUCGGCAGUAGGAGCGUCUCGCUGCCGCCCCCAUUGGAGAGGUAUGGCUGCCUGCCCCACCACCACCCACCGGCAGGGACCCCCGCCACUCCUCCAUCGCGUCUCCAUCACCGGAGGAGCGUCGUCUGCCAUUCACACAGCUGCUCCGCCUGGAGGCGUCGCCAUCGACGGGAAGACUCGGUGUCGUCGCUGUCAUGCUCGCGUGUACUCGGCAGGAGGAGCAUGACCCUUCUCUCGCGCUGCUGGUUAGCGACCAACGCAUCCAGGCCCCAGAGUGGCCUCUCCGGUUCUCAGCUCCGUUCACCGACGGGGAGCCGUUGCUAGGAGUGUCGGAUGCCCUGGAGAUGGCCGGAUCUGUGGCGCCUCCAAUUUCGGCUCCAUCUCCACACGUACAGGUUUUUGAUAAUUUGCUCCUUGGGAGGUCUGUUCCUUCAAGUACAGCUAAAUCAAAGAGACACCAACUUAUUUAAGUGCUUGAGAUUUCGAUUAACAACCUGCAACAAUGUCCAUGCCCUUUGGUAUUGCACUUUAAUUAUUUUCUUUACCCAUUUAUUCUCCUGUAGAUAGUUUCUGUCUUAAGUGUCUACAACAAAAGGGAUAAGCAGCACCACAUCCGGGUACCAAAGCCAUCCAUGCCAUUCUGUAUUCCUCUCAUCAUACACUUGAUUAUAAAAAUCAGUUUAUUUUAUUGUGGCUCUACCAUUUAAGCUAUCAAACUACUUUUAUUGCAAUUGGUCUUAAAAUGCCACUAUACUGUUACUACAUUAUUUGCCACUGGUGUAUGCUUUAUUCAUUUGGAGGAACUUCUUUUAUUAGUGAGAAAAAUAGAAAUAUCCUAUUAGUCUGCUGAGAUUUCAAAUGUGACUCCUUACUAAUCCUACAAGUCAUGUUCUUGAUAUUAUGUUGACGUUGCCUUUCUGAGACCUGAGAGUUUUCUAAUGAGAAUCUUUACUAAUCAUACAAGUCAUGUUCUAGAUGUUAAGUCGAGGUUACCUUUUAAGUAAUGUAAACCUGAAAGUGGAAGGAUAAUGUACUAUGUGAUUUGAUUUACCGGCUUUUUACAUGUUGUCCUGCGUUGAUUCAGUCCCAUCUUUUUUACAUUACCCUUCCAUUUUCAGCUGAUAUAUGUAAAAGCUCUAAUGAGCAUGUAAUUGCUAGCAGGGAAUAAAAAGUCUUUGCCAUUUUUUAACAUGUUGUCGUGCGUUGAUUCAGCCUAAGUGUGCCAUCAGAAUGACUUGGAUUCUGCCGCUGUCAUAAGCCCGAUGUUCUGAUCCUAGACCUCGGUUGUUUGGCCAGAUACUAAGUCAGACCAACUCUAUUUAGUUCUUGAGAUUAUUUUCUAGCUUUGGAUUAAAAAUCUGCAAACAGUACUUAUGCUUCUCACAUUCCUUCCUGCUCUAAAAUACACAUAUGCUUUUCUCUUUGUUGUACUUACUACUAAGCUAUGUGUUUUGAACAAAGCAUGUCAUCUCAUUUCAGAUUAAUGAUGAUGUAGUUAUGGACGCCUUCUAAAUGCUACACGUGUGGUUCCCAAUUGGACGAUAUCUUUCCAUGAAGAUCUUCAAAUCACGAGUUGCAAGUAUGAGUGUGCUAUUCAAUCAUUUACUGGGACAAGAGGCGUUUAUUUAUGUCCAGAUUUCUGUUGGAGAUUAUGGUCCAUAGAAGUUCUCAAUCCAAAGCCCAGUUCUAUGUUGAUCUUUUUUCUUGACUCUUUUGUUUUGUUGAUUCAGAUUAUUUACUGUGAAAUUUUUGUACAAUUCCUUGAUUAUAUGUCAGUGUCAAGGCAUCUUUUGACUAUUUGGAUUAAUUUACCUCAGUAUAUUUGAUGUAUAUCUUAGAAUGAUAUGAAAGAAUUUAUUAUUAUGA
Triticum aestivum (bread wheat) is the source of this 2030-nucleotide long non-coding RNA. RefSeq lists it as uncharacterized. The record is from RefSeq and is a predicted model, not a curated record. NCBI's taxonomy places the organism in Eukaryota, Viridiplantae, Streptophyta, Magnoliopsida, Poales, Poaceae. The transcript is spliced from 3 exons.